GAUGAACGCUAGCGGCAGGCUUAACACAUGCAAGUCGAGGGGUAACAGAAUAGCUUGCUAUUGCUGACGACCGGCGCACGGGUGCGUAACGCGUAUACAAUCUACCUCUUACUGUGGGAUAGCCCAGAGAAAUUUGGAUUAAGACCACAUAGUAUCAUAUUACGGCAUCGUAUUUAUGAUUAAAGGUUACGGUAGGAGAUGAGUAUGCGUCCUAUUAGUUUGUUGGUAAGGUAACGACUUACCAAGACUACGAUAGGUAGGGGCCCUGAGAGGGGGAUCCCCCACACUGGUACUGAGACACGGACCAG
Molecule: ribosomal RNA, 308 nt
Filed under: uncultured bacterium
Lineage: Bacteria
Description: bacterial SSU rRNA
Rfam family: Bacterial small subunit ribosomal RNA
Source: RNAcentral